GUACCGUUAGCUCAGUUGGUAGAGCAAAUGACUCUUAAUCAUUGGGUCGCGGGUUCGAAUCCCUCACGGUGCACCA
RNAcentral lists this transfer RNA (76 nucleotides) under Mycoplasmataceae bacterium. RNAcentral's name for it is "tRNA-Lys". It matches the Rfam family "tRNA". Rfam says of the family: Transfer RNA (tRNA) molecules are approximately 80 nucleotides in length. Their secondary structure includes four short double-helical elements and three loops (D, anti-codon, and T loops). Lineage: Bacteria; Bacillati; Mycoplasmatota; Mollicutes; Mycoplasmatales; Mycoplasmataceae. The record is from RNAcentral.